UGAGGAAUAUUGGGCAAUGCCCGCAAGGGUGACCCAGCAACGCCGCGUGGAGGAUGAAUGUCGUAAGAUUGUAAACUCCUGUUAGAGGGGAAGAAUAGUACCGGUUGGACCGGUAUAUGACUGUACCCUCAGAGAAAGCCCCGGCUAACUACGUGCCAGCAGCCGCGGUAAUACGAGGGGAGCUAGCGUUGUUCGGAAUUACUGGGCGUAAAGCGCGCGUAGGCGGUUUUUUAAGUCAGAGGUGAAAGCCCGGGGCUCAACCCCGGAAUAGCCUUUGAAACUGGAAAACUAGAAUCUUGGAGAGGUCAGUGGAAUUCCGAGUGUAGAGGUGAAAUUCGUAGAUAUUCGGAAGAACACCAGUGGCGAAGGCGACUGACUGGACAAGUAUUGACGCUGAGGUGCGAAAGCGUGGGGAGCAAACA
RNAcentral lists this ribosomal RNA (422 nucleotides) under uncultured bacterium. RNAcentral's name for it is "bacterial SSU rRNA". It matches the Rfam family "Bacterial small subunit ribosomal RNA", at positions 355 to 774 of the family's 1533-position model. The record is from RNAcentral.